Molecule: long non-coding RNA, 1258 nt
Organism: Esox lucius (northern pike)
Lineage: Eukaryota; Metazoa; Chordata; Actinopteri; Esociformes; Esocidae
Source: Ensembl
GUUUGCUGUUUAGAUUUCCCUAUUUAGUUUGUCCUCUUCUGUUAGCCCUUUAAGAGAUCGUUAUGUUUUUGGUGCCUGUACCUGCCUGGUUUUUCUGCCUCCCCGUUUACCAGUUUGUGCUGGACUCUAGCACAUUCUGAAAUGACUUGCCUACAUCAAGGACUAUCUGGAGGAAGAACGUUCACAUCAGUCACCCAAUGGAUCAAGUGCUUCAGAUGACGAUGACCUCUUCAAGCAUGAAGACAACUCAUGGGCAGGAAAGUGUUAAACAGCUAGAAGGGUUCACUCCAAGUACCGUCGGACAGGGGCCAGCUUCAGCAAGGCCCAACAGGAGUUCUCCUCAGGGUUUCUCACCAACCAGACCUUCCAGAGCGCUGCAGCCACCGCCGCCUCGUAGGGUUGAACUUGAUGCAAGAUAUUAAGAGAUGCUAAGUUUUGGUUCAUAUGAUGAAGACACUGGGUGAUGGUUUAGCUCAAUGGGAAUUAAUGUAUACUCUAAUCUUGUCACUACUGUAUAAGAGAACCUUUCAUUCUUAGCUGAUUGUACCUUGUGAGUUGUGGCCCCCAGACUGUGGAAUAAACUGCCCAUUAUUAUCAGGUCACCCCCCCCCCCCCCCACGAGGCAUCGAAGUCUCGCCUCAAAAUGUGUUUUUAUACUUUGGCGUUGGAGUCGGUGUAGGGACAUUCGAGCUCAACAGUUUUGUGUGCUGCUCGUUUCUAUUCAUUGUUUAUUUUUAUUUUUUUUUGCAUAACUUUGGACAGCACUUUGUUCAGCAUUGGUUGUUUUUAAAUGUGCUUUAUAAAUAAAUUGACUUGACUUAUCCCCCUGUAGAUACUCCGGUUGGUCACUUUUAUUACUCGGCUGGGCUUUAAGUUAUGGGGGAUUGAUCCUGUUUCCCUUUAGAACUAUACAUUAGUUCUGUCAUUGUGGGUAGUGUGGUCAUUAUGAUACACCUAAAUGUUCUUUGCUGACACGGUUUACUGUAAUUUUAACCAAAUACUUGAAGACUAGACAUUAUUUCUGAUGUCACUUCAGCCUCACCGUCUGAAUAUGAAUAAUCUUCAGGAUCUUAGUGUUCUGAGUUUUUGCCUACUGGUUUACGUAUUUUAUUUGAACACAAUUUUUUGAGAAUCUGCAGAUGCCCCCAAGACUACCAGUAACAUUUUAACUAACCCAAACCAUUAUCUUAACUUUGACCCUCCCACUAAACCCGGUACCCAGGCAAACCUUAGCAAGCUAUUCCUUAUCAAUAGUUUG